CAUAAAACUAAUACUGUACUAAAGAACAAACAAGAAAAGAAGAAACCUUUUACUUCUGUUUCCCAGUUGCCGGAAGAUCAACAAUUGGACGACGAAACAUUGAAACGAGGGAUUUUCAUUAGUUCAGUUUGUGAUGGAGAUCACAGUAGCUUCUAAAUUUUAACUUGUAAUCAAAUUGAGGAGGAGGAUUGUAGCUGU
This is a non-coding RNA of Nicotiana tabacum (common tobacco), 198 nucleotides long. Lineage: Eukaryota; Viridiplantae; Streptophyta; Magnoliopsida; Solanales; Solanaceae. The record is from RefSeq and is a predicted model, not a curated record.